GAACCACAAUCUAGUAGCCCUGCGUUUGACAAUGUUUCACCGAUUUCGCUGCAACCAUCUUCUUCGGUUUAUUUCAAACAAUUUCGACUGAAGGAAACAGUAGCUGUUGAACUGUUUUUUUCCUCCUAAUGUUAAAACAAUGGUUCGGUGACUUGUAAAUGGUUUCCAUUUAGCUCAAUCACCCCAUUAUUUUCAUGCAACUGAAGCCUUCGUCGCAUAAAGGUUCUGGAGACCUAUUUCCAUGACCACCACUAUCUUUACCGAUUCUGCCUCCGUCAAACCUGGAUGUCCGGCGUUCACCAGUGCUCGACUUGUCCAAUCAUUUCCUCACUAUGAGACAAUCAAGUUAGAUGAAGGCAUAUUGUUCCAUGGCAACAGUAUGUUCGGUUAAUUGUAGACAAAUAUAAGUUGACUGGGUUUCUGGAUGGAACGUUGUUGAUAAACCGUAAGAUAUACAUAUUUUUACCCCAUGCUUGACAUAUUUAUGGAUGAUUUUUCCUUGGUUUUAUUGAAUUCGAUGCUCCUAAUCCUUUAAUUUCAUAUUUUAUACUCAGGAGAGCUUAGGAUAGCAAAAAGAGCAAGAAACGGGCCAAAAACGGACAAAUUGGGCCUAAAUCAGUGUUGCACAUGACCUAGGCACUUCCACACGGAUAAUCCACACACCCGUGUAUGACACACAGGUAGACUACACGCACGUGUCUCAUGGCCGUGUCGACUAAGAACCAACUCAGAAUUGCACACGGCCUGAGCACCUUUACAUGGGCGUGGCACAUGGCCGUGUCUCUGCCGAGCCCAAGCCUAGUUCUAUUAGGAAAAUGGCACUUUUGAGAGUUUUGAAGCAUUACAAAGCCUAUAUAAACACCCUAGAAGAGGAUUAGGGGAGGAAACACAGAGUUGGAGGCAAAAAAUACUCAAGAACAGCCGUCGGAAUCACCUCAGAGCAAGGAUCUACAUCAAGACUAAAGAUUUCCAUCCAAUUUCCUAGAAGUUCUUUGGGUUUCUUUAUGUUUUGUUGUUUUCCAAACUUUGAGAUGUUUUCCAUUAUUAUUAUGAACUAAACUCCCUAAAUACCUAAAGGAGAUGAACCCUAUGAUGAAUCUUAUUACUA
Gossypium arboreum is the source of this 1108-nucleotide long non-coding RNA. RefSeq lists it as uncharacterized. The record is from RefSeq and is a predicted model, not a curated record. The transcript is spliced from 2 exons. NCBI's taxonomy places the organism in Eukaryota, Viridiplantae, Streptophyta, Magnoliopsida, Malvales, Malvaceae.